AACGUAGGAGACAAACGUUAUCCGGAGUUACUGGGCGUAAAGGGCGUGUAGGUGGUUUCGUAAGUCUGGCGUGAAAUAUCUCGGCUCAACCGGGGAACUGCGUCCGAUACUGGCGGGCUUGAAUUCGGGAGAGGGAUGUGGAAUUCCAGGUGUAGCGGUGAAAUGCGUAGAUAUCUGGAGGAACACCGGUGGCGAAGGCGGCAUCCUGGACCGACAUUGACGCUGAGGCGCGAAAGCCAGGGGAGCAAACGGG
This 253-nucleotide ribosomal RNA is filed under the name uncultured bacterium. Its description in RNAcentral is "partial 16S ribosomal RNA". It matches the Rfam family "Bacterial small subunit ribosomal RNA", at positions 524 to 776 of the family's 1533-position model. The record is from RNAcentral.